GACCCAGUAGCUUAACGGACAAAGCGGCUCUCUUCUAAAGAGUAGACUGGUGGUUCGAUUCCACCCUGGGUCACAA
Molecule: transfer RNA, 76 nt
Filed under: Candidatus Woesebacteria bacterium CG_4_9_14_3_um_filter_39_10
Lineage: Bacteria; Candidatus Woeseibacteriota
Also listed under: 2 other names
Description: tRNA-Arg
Rfam family: tRNA
About the family: Transfer RNA (tRNA) molecules are approximately 80 nucleotides in length.
Source: RNAcentral